RNAcentral lists this ribosomal RNA (2940 nucleotides) under anaerobic digester metagenome. Its description in RNAcentral is "bacterial LSU rRNA". It matches the Rfam family "Bacterial large subunit ribosomal RNA", at positions 3 to 2506 of the family's 2925-position model. The record is from RNAcentral.
UCAAGCUAAUAAGAGCAUAGGGUGGAUGCCUUGGCACCAAGAGCCGAAGAAGGACGCGGUAAGCUGCGAAAAGCUUUGGGUAGGCGCAAACAGCCGUUGAUCCAGAGAUGUCCGAAUGGGGAAACCCGACUUGGCGAACCCAAGUCACUAUUAGAUGAAUCCAUAGUCUAAUAGAGGGAACGCAGGGAACUGAAACAUCUAAGUACCUGCAGGAGGAGAAAGAAACAUCGAUUUCCUGAGUAGUGGCGAGCGAAAGGGAAAGAGCCCAAACCAGAUUGCGUGCAAUCUGGGGUUGUGGACUGCGAAAGGUAGUUUUAAGGAUAGUCGAAGUGUUUUGGAAAAGCACACCAAAGAAGGUGAAAGUCCUGUAGACAAAAUCCAAGAAACGCCGGCAGUAUCCAGAGUACCACGAGACACGAGAAACCUUGUGGGAAGCAGGGGGGACCACCCCCCAAGGCUAAAUACUCCUUGGUGACCGAUAGCGCAUAGUACUGUGAAGGAAAGGUGAAAAGAACCCCGGGAGGGGAGUGAAAAAGAACCUGAAACCCUAUGUUUACAAGCAGUGGAAGACCGUUAAAGGUCGACCGCGUACUUUUUGUAGAACGGUCCGGCGAGUUACUGAUGCCAGCAAGGUUAAGUGCCAAAGGCACGAAGCCGAAGGGAAACCAAGUCUUAAAAGGGCGAUAAUAGUUGGUAUUAGUAGACCCGAAACCGGGUGAUCUACCCAUGGUCAGGAUGAAGUCACCGUAAAAGGUGAUGGAGGUCCGAACUCACACGUGUUGAAAAACGUGGGGAUGAACUGUGGGUAGGGGAGAAAUUCCAAUCGAACCCGGAGAUAGCUGGUUCUCCUCGAAAUAGCUUUAGGGCUAGCCUUGAUGUGAGCCUAGCGGAGGUAAAGCACUGAAUUGCCUAGGGGGCCAACAAGCUUACCGAAGCAUAUCAAACUAAGAAUGCCGCAUAGGUACCGUCAGGAGUCAGACUAUGAGAGAUAAGUUUCAUGGUCAAAAGGGAAAGAGCCCAGACCAUCAGCUAAGGUCCCAAAGUACGUGUUAAGUGGAAAAGGAUGUGGGAUUUCAGAGACAACUAGGAUGUUGGCUUAGAAGCAGCCAUACAUUCAAAGAGUGCGUAAUAGCUCACUAGUCGAGAGAUCCUGCGCCGAAAAUGUCCGGGGCUAAAACACGACACCGAAGCUAUGGAAUUUAGAGGUUAGAAGGGAGAAGUUAGAAGGGUGAUAAAAUCUUAUAAAGAUUUAGAAGUAUAUCAGCUUUCUUAUAAACUAGCAUUAAGUAUACACAAAAUGACGCAAACAUUUCCUAAAGAAGAGACCUAUGAGAUAAGUAGUCAAAUGAGAAGGGCUGCAUUGUCCAUACCAUUAAAUAUAGCAGAAGGUUAUGGAAAGAAAAGUUCAGCAAAAGAUUUUAAGAGAUUUCUUAAAAUAUCUUUAGGCUCAACAAAUGAAAUGUUAGUGUUGAUAAGUUUUGUAAAAGACUUAGGUUAUAUAACUGAAGAAGAGUAUAAAGAAUACUCAGAACGAUAUAAUAUGCUAGGUGGGAUGAUAUACAACUUAGAGAAGAACUGGGAGUAAAUAGUUCAAACCUCUAACGUCUGCCUUCUAAUCUCUAAAUUGGUAGAGGAGCAUUCCUAUAGCGUGGAAGCUGUACCGAAAGGAGCAGUGGAGUUAUAGGAAGAGAGAAUGCCGGAAUGAGUAGCGAGAAAGAAGUGAGAAUCUUCUUGGCCGAAUAUCCAAGGUUUCCAGAGUAAAGCUGAUCUGCUCUGGGUAAGUCGGGACCUAAGGUGAGGGCGAAAGCCGUAGCCGAUGGACAACAGGUUGAAAUUCCUGUACUGCUAAUAAACAGAACUGUGGGGACGCAGGAGGAUAGACAGACCGGGGAAUGGAAAGACCCGGUUAAGCACAAAGCCAAGCCUGACAGGCAAAUCCGUUAGGCGAUGGUGAAGUGUUAUAAGGACCGAAAUUAAAGUAGGGAAGCUGUUGAAUCCACACUGCCGAGAAAAGCCGCUAUAGUUUUAUUAGUACCCGUACCGUAAACCGACACAGGUGGAUGAGGAGAGAAUCCUAAGGCCGACGGGAGAAGCGUUGUUAAGGAACUCGGCAAAAUGACCCCGUAACUUCGGGAGAAGGGGUGCCUGUAGAAAUACAGGCCGCAGAGAAUAGGCCCAAGCGACUGUUUAGCAAAAACACAGGUCUCUGCUAAACCGAAAGGUGAAGUAUAGGGGCUGACGCCUGCCCGGUGCUGGAAGGUUAAGGGGAGAGGUUAGGAGAAAUCCGAAGCUUUGAACUUAAGCCCCAGUAAACGGCGGCCGUAACUAUAACGGUCCUAAGGUAGCGAAAUUCCUUGUCNNNNNNNNNNNNNNNNNNNNNNNNNNNNNNNNNNNNNNNNNNNNNNNNNNNNNNNNCCGACCCGCACGAAAGGCGUAACGAUUUGGGCACUGUCUCGACAACGCGCCCGGUGAAAUUGUAGUACCGGUGAAGAUGCCGGUUACCCGCGACAGGACGGAAAGACCCCGUGGAGCUUUACUGCAGCUUGAUACUGGAAUUCGGUAUUACAUGUACAGGAUAGGAGGGAGACUAAGAAGCCAGGACGCCAGUCUUGGUGGAGUCGCCGGUGGGAUACCUCUCUUGUGAUACUGGAUUUCUAACCUGAAUCUGUGAACCAGAUUAGGGACAAUGUCAGGCGGGCAGUUUGACUGGGGCGGUCGCCUCCGAAAGAGUAACGGAGGCGCUCAAAGGUAACCUCAGAAUGGUUGGAAACCAUUCGCAGAGUGCAAAGGCAGAAGGUUGCUUAACUGCGACAGCGACGGCUGGAGCAGAUACGAAAGUAGGACUUAGUGAUCCGGUGGUAUGAAAGUGGGAUUGCCAUCGCUCAACGGAUAAAAGCUACCCCGGGGAUAACAGGCUUAUCUCCCCCAAGAGUUCACAUC